This is a long non-coding RNA of Macrobrachium nipponense, 319 nucleotides long. RefSeq lists it as uncharacterized. Lineage: Eukaryota; Metazoa; Arthropoda; Malacostraca; Decapoda; Palaemonidae. The transcript has 3 exons. The record is from RefSeq and is a predicted model, not a curated record.
GUACUGUGACAAGGACAUCUUACCUGGGACAGUUUUCGAAUCUGUCGCAAACAAGAUGUUCCUCUACUUCGAAUCUCGAGCAUACUGGCUCAAGGGGUGGUCUGCCACUAUCAGGUUCAUACCCAUAAAUGGAUGUAGUAAUAGUACACCAGCUCCUACUUGUACUCAGCAAGUGAUCAGUACCACUGCAUUAAGAUGGACUUCUCCCCUCUUUGGACAAAGCAAUUAUCCCGAUGCUGCGAAUUGUUCUAUCAAUUUAACUACUACUGUGCCAGCAUGGGCUAAAAUUACUGUCAACAGUUUCUCAUUAGAAACUGGG